RNAcentral lists this long non-coding RNA (1699 nucleotides) under Homo sapiens (human). RNAcentral describes it as "HSALNT0157074". The record is from RNAcentral. Lineage: Eukaryota; Metazoa; Chordata; Mammalia; Primates; Hominidae.
CCCGCUCCCAGCUCGGGACCCCAGACAGUGCCAGACGCCUCCUUGGUGGGCAGCUCCUGGCUGCUCUGCCCGUCUGCAGCCUCCAGGCCACCCUGGGAGGCCCAGGUUCCGGGAGGUAUGAUCAGUGUGUCCACACCAGACUGCAGGCAGAGCAGAGUUGAGGGACCAAGAAGGGUUGGGACAGGUGGGCAGGACCCCAGAACCACUCACAGCCCCGCUGGGUGGAAGCAAAUGGCCCCUCCUCACCCCUGCCCACCUUCUUGGCAGUCUGCCCCCAGGACUGGUCAGACAAGUUCUCGUGGCUGGCCUGGGUGUGGUCACCCUCUGGUGGGGGCCAGCAACGGGGCAAGGCGGGGAGCCUGGCACGCUAAGUCCUGGCACAGGGUCAGGGCAGUGACCCAUCUGUCCCACGCCUGGAGACCUCUGCAUGCCACGCGCCUGCCCUGCCCUGCUGUGGAGCUGGUCACCAUGCGUCAGGGAAGGGCUGGCAUGGCGUGAGGACCCGUCUGUCCUGCGUGGCCAGCUCGGCUGCCACCUCCUCGCCUUGUCUCUGCCCUGCCCGGAACACCAGGGCGCCCCAAGCUGGCCUCAAUGCUCACUCCCUGCCUGGCAUCCUGGCUUACAGUGGUGAGGCAGUACCUGCGCAGAGCAGCCUAGCGCCUGGUGCUCAGCCCCAGAGAGGCCCCCACCCUGCUCAGCAGACCAGGAGACGGCCCAGCACCCACGGCCCCAGCCUCCUCCUGCCUCAUCCUCAAGGCCUGGUCCAGGCCACCUCCUCCCGGAAGCCCAGGCCCCGAGGCAGGACAGGAGGUGUGCAGGAAUUAGAUAUUUCCUGGGAAACUAGAAAAACAUCCCAGCUGAGGUUGGGAGGUGAAUCACCAGUGGGCAGGGCGUGGUCCUGGCUGUCUGGGCUCUCCUGUCCCAACCUUCCACUCCCUGAAACCUGCAGCACCUGCUGCACCCACCACCCUCUUGUCGACACGCUCCUUCUCUUGGAGGCCUUUCCUGGGGUCCCCCCAGUUCCAUGCGCUGUAUCCUCCUGCUGUCCGACCCAUGGACUGACCCCAGCUCACAGUCUCAGUCUCGGCCCCAGGGAGCGCAGUGUCCACAGUGACUGUGUGUGUGUGUUCUCGGGUCCACAUAAAGGGGCAGAUGCCCUGUGUCCAGCUACAACCCCCUCCCAAAGGAGCCUGCAGCAAAGAAGAAUUGCUGGGAGGAAGAUCACCCUGCUUUAUUGCCUGGGCCUUAAGCCUGCAGGGGUGGGCAGAGAAGACAGACAUGAACUCAGUGGAGUGGGAUGGCUGCCCACGAGCCUGCGGCCCAGGAAAGCCCCCACCAGGAGCAGCGUGCCUCGUCCAAGCUCAGCAUCCCCAAGGCAUCAGUGCCGGGGUGCCAUCACCUCCAAAUGUGUGUGCAAGGCUAGUGUCAUGGGUGUGAGCCAAGUGUGAGCAAGCAGCAAGGGCCGGUGUCUCCCAGCUGCCACCCCUGCCAGGGAUCCUCCCCCUCCCCUGGUGGCAUUGGUCCUGGGAUGGAGCUGGGAAUGGGGUCGGGGAGGCUGAGAGAUGGGAGAGAAGGGGGCUGACCCUGCAGUGCCCCUGAGUUCAGGGCAGUCCCGGCGGCCAAGGGCUUACCUGUGGUGGCAACACGGCAGUCUGUCCUCUCGGUCUUCUGAGCUCUAGGUCCCAGUGCCUGAGUUGAG